GAUGAACGCUGGCGGCGUGCCUAAUACAUGCAAGUCGAGCGAACAGACGAGGAGCUUGCUCCUCUGACGUUAGCGGCGGACGGGUGAGUAACACGUGGAUAACCUACCUAUAAGACUGGGAUAACUUCGGGAAACCGGAGCUAAUACCGGAUAAUAUAUUGAACCGCAUGGUUCAAUAGUGAAAGACGGUUUUGCUGUCACUUAUAGAUGGAUCCGCGCCGCAUUAGCUAGUUGGUAAGGUAACGGCUUACCAAGGCGACGAUGCGUAGCCGACCUGAGAGGGUGAUCGGCCACACUGGAACUGAGACACGGUCCAGACUCCUACGGGAGGCAGCAGUAGGGAAUCUUCCGCAAUGGGCGAAAGCCUGACGGAGCAACGCCGCGUGAGUGAUGAAGGUCUUCGGAUCGUAAAACUCUGUAUUAGGGAAGAACAAAUGUGUAAGUAACUAUGCACGUCUUGACGGUACCUAAUCAGAAAGCCACGGCUAACUACGUG
Molecule: ribosomal RNA, 496 nt
Filed under: uncultured bacterium
Lineage: Bacteria
Description: partial 16S ribosomal RNA
Rfam family: Bacterial small subunit ribosomal RNA
Source: RNAcentral